AAAGCGCACGUAGGCGGCUUUUUAAGUCAGGGGUGAAAUCCCGGGGCUCAACCCCGGAACUGCCCUUGAAACUGGGAAGCUAGAAUCUUGGAGAGGCGAGUGGAAUUCCGAGUGUAGAGGUGAAAUUCGUAGAUAUUCGGAAGAACACCAGUGGCGAAGGCGACUCGCUGGACAAGUAUUGACGCUGAGGUGCGAAAGCGUGGGGAGCAAACAGGAUUAGAUACCCUUGU
RNAcentral lists this ribosomal RNA (230 nucleotides) under uncultured bacterium. RNAcentral's name for it is "partial 16S ribosomal RNA". It matches the Rfam family "Bacterial small subunit ribosomal RNA", at positions 562 to 791 of the family's 1533-position model. The record is from RNAcentral.